RNAcentral lists this ribosomal RNA (498 nucleotides) under uncultured bacterium. RNAcentral's name for it is "partial 16S ribosomal RNA". It matches the Rfam family "Bacterial small subunit ribosomal RNA", at positions 30 to 523 of the family's 1533-position model. The record is from RNAcentral.
AUUGAACGCUGGCGGCAUGCCUUACACAUGCAAGUCGAACGGUAACAGGUCUUCGGACGCUGACGAGUGGCGAACGGGUGAGUAAUACAUCGGAACGUGCCCAGUCGUGGGGAAUAACUACUCGACAGAGUAGCUAAUACCGCAUACGAUCCGAGGAUGAAAGCGGGGGACCUUCGGGCCUCGCGCGAUUGGAGCGGCCGAUGGCAGAUUAGGUAGUUGGUGGGAUAAAAGCUUACCAAGCCGACGAUCUGUAGCUGGUCUGAGAGGACGACCAGCCACACUGGGACUGAGACACGGCCCAGACUCCUACGGGAGGCAGCAGUGGGGAAUUUUGGACAAUGGGCGAAAGCCUGAUCCAGCAAUGCCGCGUGCAGGAUGAAGGCCUUCGGGUUGUAAACUGCCUUUGUACGGAACGAAAAAGCUCCUUCUAAUACAGGGGGCCCAUGACGGUACCGUAAGAAUAAGCACCGGCUAACUACGUGCCAGCCGCCGCAGUAA